GUUAAGAUUGCUUCAGCCUGUCCAGAUCCCUCUGCAGCACCUUUCUACCCUCAAGAAGAUUGAUACUUCCUCACAGCUUAGCGAGUUCCUCUUUCUGCUGCCUGUGUGCGUGUGGUGAUGGUCACGCGUGGUCCUCAUCAAGUCCUGUGCAGUGCUGCUGGUCUCAGACACUCUGGAGUCCUGAGUUCCUGGGCAGGUUUGUCCUCCAUGGCAGGUUGCAACCAUGCAUUGUGAAGGUCUCCUGGGCUGGCCAAAGUUGUCCCUUCCUGCCAUGGGGAGACCCAGCUCACAGCUGCUCAACGGCCUCUGGUUUCGCCAUCUCUGUGGUUACAAGAAAUGGGAACCAACCAAAAAUGAAGCAGUACUAGAGAGUCCUGCCAUCCUAAGGGCUGUGGACAGCUCAUGAGCAUGCCACGUUCAUUGCUUUGCAGAGCAACCUCCACCCAGCAGCAAUAAUGACACUUCCUGUCUUAA
Molecule: long non-coding RNA, 474 nt
Organism: Centrocercus urophasianus (Greater sage-grouse)
Lineage: Eukaryota; Metazoa; Chordata; Aves; Galliformes; Phasianidae
Exons: 2
Source: RefSeq, a predicted model, not a curated record